RNAcentral lists this non-coding RNA (47 nucleotides) under Trichobilharzia regenti. The record is from RNAcentral. Lineage: Eukaryota; Metazoa; Platyhelminthes; Trematoda; Strigeidida; Schistosomatidae.
AUCCAGAUGACGAGUCCAGAUAAGACGAAAUGCGCGUUGUCCUGGAU